This 675-nucleotide unclassified non-coding RNA is filed under the name Homalodisca vitripennis (glassy-winged sharpshooter). Its description in RNAcentral is "uncharacterized LOC124367453, transcript variant X8". The record is from RNAcentral. Lineage: Eukaryota; Metazoa; Arthropoda; Insecta; Hemiptera; Cicadellidae.
AAAAACCGAGGUCGAAAUCUUUUCGGGUUAGGAAGCUGGCCUGAUGGACCCCUGGCCAUGAAGAUUCCAAAAGAGCCCUGUACUUUAAAUUCUCUCCUUUAAUUAUCACAUUCCUCUUUUAAAACUAACAAAUACACAUCAUUAAUGUAAAUCCCACUCCAUUAACAUUGAAUAAUUAACAUAUAUUAUGGAACUACGAGGCUGCAUGUUUUUUACGAAGCCUGCUCUUUUGAGCAAACCAGAAGGAAAAAAAAAUCCUGGCCACAAUCGUGAUGGUUAGUGUUAGUACUAUUUUUAUCUAACCCUUUAAUAUUGUUCAAUAAGAGAAUAAGACUAGGCGUUGUAAAACUCUCAAGAAGCUUGUUGACACCUUGUUAAGACUUUGUACUCAAUUUUUAGAUGCAGAAUAUAAAAGUAUCAGCAUACUGUACAUAUUUUAUCAUAUUUUUGGUGUUGCAUACAAUGAAAUGAUAUGGGACUUGAAAAUACAGCUUUGAGAUAGAUGCACCACAAUAAAUGUACAAUUGUAUACACAAAAUGUUCAAUGUUGUUAAUGAACACUGGUGAAGAGUACAAUGGUUUCCAGCAAUACUUCUACCCCAAGUUUGGAAGGAAACUUAACAUAUUGUUACCCACAAUGAAUUAAAAUGCUCCAUUGCCCUGAGCAAGCAAGUA